This 2153-nucleotide ribosomal RNA is filed under the name Thalassospira xianhensis MCCC 1A02616. RNAcentral describes it as "bacterial LSU rRNA". It matches the Rfam family "Bacterial large subunit ribosomal RNA", at positions 149 to 2462 of the family's 2925-position model. Lineage: Bacteria; Pseudomonadati; Pseudomonadota; Alphaproteobacteria; Rhodospirillales; Thalassospiraceae. The record is from RNAcentral.
GAUCAUAACGUGAAUACAUAGCGUUAUGAGGCGAACCCGGGGAACUGAAACAUCUCAGUACCCGGAGGAAAGGACAUCAACAGAGACUCUGCUAGUAGCGGCGAGCGAACGCGGACCAGGCCAGUGGCCUGUAUGUAAGAACCGGAACAAUCUGGAAAGGUUGGCCAAAGUGGGUGAUAGCCCCGUACGGGUAGAAAGCAUACAGGUCCUCGAGUAGGGCGGGACACGUGAAAUCCUGUCUGAACAUGGGGGGACCACCCUCCAAGCCUAAGUACUCCUUAACGACCGAUAGUGUACCAGUACCGUGAGGGAAAGGUGAAAAGCACCCCGAUAAGGGGAGUGAAAUAGUUCCUGAAACCGGAUGCCUACAAGCAGUUGGAGCCUCUUUAUGGGGUGACAGCGUACCUCUUGCAUAAUGGGUCAGCGAGUUAGUCUUACAAGCGAGCUUAAGCCGUUAGGUGUAGGCGCAGCGAAAGCGAGUCUGAAUAGGGCGAUUGAGUUUGUGGGAUUAGACCCGAAACCAGGUGAUCUAGCCAUGAGCAGGUUGAAGGUGAUGUAACAGUCACUGGAGGACCGAACCCACGUCUGUUGAAAAAGACGGGGAUGACUUGUGGUUAGGGGUGAAAGGCCAAUCAAACCUGGAGAUAGCUGGUUCUCCGCGAAAUCUAUUUAGGUAGAGCGUCAGACGAAUACCAUCGGGGGUAGAGCACUGAAUGGGCUAGGGGGCCUUACCGGCUUACCAAACCUAAUCAAACUCCGAAUACCGAUGAGUACUAUCUGGCAGACAGACUACGGGUGCUAAGGUCCGUGGUCGAGAGGGAAACAGCCCAGACCGCCAGUUAAGGUCCCAAAGUUGUGGCUAAGUGGGAAAGGAUGUAGGACGGCCAAGACAACCAGGACGUUGGCUUAGAAGCAGCCAUCGUUUAAAGAAAGCGUAACAGCUCACUGGUCUAAAUAAGCUGUCCCGCGCCGAAGAUGUACCGGGGCUCAAGCCACACACCGAAACUGCGGAUUUGUUCUUCGGAACAAGUGGUAGCGGAGCGUUCCGUAAGCCUGUGAAGGUGUACCGUAAGGUAUGCUGGAGGUAUCGGAAGCGAGAAUGCUGACAUGAGUAGCGACAAAGGGAGUGAGAACCUCCCUCGCCGAAAGCCCAAGGGUUCCUGCGCAAGGCCAAUCCGCGCAGGGUGAGUCGGCCCCUAAGACGAGGCGGAAACGCGUAGUCGAUGGGAAACAGGUUAAUAUUCCUGUACCCGUGAGAAGUGACGGCCUCUGGAAGUUGUGUCUCCUUAUUGGAUUGGAGAUGCUGCCAAGGAGGUCCAGGAAAUAACUCUCACAUAUGGACCGUACCCGAAACCGACACAGGUGGGCAGGUUGAAUAUACCAAGGCGCUUGAGAGAACGAUGUUGAAGGAACUCGGCAAAUUGCCCCCGUAACUUCGGGAGAAGGGGGCCCACCGUGAAGGCAACUUUACGGUGGGGGCACAGACCAGGGGGUGGCGACUGUUUACUAAAAACACAGGGCUCUGCGAAGUCGCAAGACGACGUAUAGGGUCUGACGCCUGCCCGGUGCCGGAAGGUUAAGAGGAGAUGUGCAAGCAUUGAAUUGAAGCCCCGGUAAACGGCGGCCGUAACUAUAACGGUCCUAAGGUAGCGAAAUUCCUUGUCGGGUAAGUUCCGACCUGCACGAAUGGCGUAACGACUUCCCCACUGUCUCCAACAUCGACUCAGCGAAAUUGAAUUCUCCGUGAAGAUGCGGAGUACCCGCGGUCAGACGGAAAGACCCCGUGCACCUUUACUACAGCUUUGCAGUGGUAUCAGGAUGUGAAUGUGCAGAAUAGGCGGGAGGCUAUGAACCCGAAGCGCCAGCUUCGGUGGAGCCACCUUUGAGAUACCGCCCUUUUGCUUCCUGAUAUCUAACCGAGGUCCGUUAUCCGGAUCCGGGACCCUGCAUGGCGGGUAGUUUGACUGGGGCGGUCGCCUCCCAAAGAGUAACGGAGGCGCGCGAUGGUAGGCUCAGGCUGGUCGGACAUCAGCUUAAGAGUGCAAUGGCAAAAGCCUGCCUGACUGCGAGACUGACAAGUCGAGCAGAGACGAAAGUCGGUCAUAGUGAUCCGGUGGUCCCGCGUGGAAGGGCCAUCGCUCAACGGAUAAAAG